GACGAACGCUGGCGGCGUGCUUAACACAUGCAAGUCGAACGGAAAGGCCCUGCUUUUGUGGGGUGCUCGAGUGGCGAACGGGUGAGUAACACGUGAGUAACCUGCCCUUGACUUUGGGAUAACUUCAGGAAACUGGGGCUAAUACCGGAUAGGAGCUCCUGCUGCAUGGUGGGGGUUGGAAAGUUUCGGCGGUUGGGGAUGGACUCGCGGCUUAUCAGCUUGUUGGUGGGGUAGUGGCUUACCAAGGCUUUGACGGGUAGCCGGCCUGAGAGGGUGACCGGCCACAUUGGGACUGAGAUGCGGCCCAGACUCCUACGGGAGGCAGCAGUGGGGAAUAUUGCACAAUGGGCGGAAGCCUGAUGCAGCAACGCCGCGUGCGGGAUGACGGCCUUCGGGUUGUAAACCGCUUUCGCCUGUGACGAAGCGUGAGUGACGGUAAUGGGUAAAGAAGCACCGGCUAACUACGUGCCAGCAGCCGCGGUGAUACGUAGGGUGCGAGCGUUGUCCGGAUUUAUUGGGCGUAAAGGGCUCGUAGGUGGUUGAUCGCGUCGGAAGUGUAAUCUUGGGGCUUAACCCUGAGCGUGCUUUCGAUACGGGUUGACUUGAGGAAGGUAGGGGAGAAUGGAAUUCCUGGUGGAGCGGUGGAAUGCGCAGAUAUCAGGAGGAACACCAGUGGCGAAGGCGGUUCUCUGGGCCUUUCCUGACGCUGAGGAGCGAAAGCGUGGGGAGCGAACAGGCUUAGAUACCCUGGUAGUCCACGCUGUAAACGGUGGGUACUAGGUGUGGGGUCCAUUCCACGGGUUCCGUGCCGUAGCUAACGCUUUAAGUACCCCGCCUGGGGAGUACGGCCGCAAGACUAAAACUCAAAGGAAUUGACGGGGCCCCGCACAAGCGGCGGAGCAUGCGGAUUAAUUCGAUGCAACGCGUAGAACCUUACCUGGGUUUGACAUGGAUCGGGAGUGCUCAGAGAUGGGUGUGCCUCUUUUGGGGUCGGUUCACAGGUGGUGCAUGCCUGUCGUCAGCUCGUGUCGUGAGAUGUUGGGUUAAGUCCCGCAACGAGCGCAACCCUUGUUCACUGUUGCCAGCACGUUAUGGUGGGGACUCAGUGGAGACCGCCGGGGUCAACUCGGAGGAAGGUGGGGAUGACGUCAAGUCCUCAUGCCCCUUAUGUCCAGGGCUUCACGCAUGCUACAAUGGCUGGUACAGAGAGUGGCGAGCCUGUGAGGGUGAGCGAAUCUCGGAAAGCCGGUCUCAGUUCGGAUUGGGGUCUGCAACUCGACCUCAUGAAGUCGGAGUCGCUAGUAAUCGCAGAUCAGCAACGCUGCGGUGAAUACGUUCCCGGG
RNAcentral lists this ribosomal RNA (1343 nucleotides) under uncultured bacterium. Its description in RNAcentral is "16S ribosomal RNA". It matches the Rfam family "Bacterial small subunit ribosomal RNA", at positions 28 to 1378 of the family's 1533-position model. The record is from RNAcentral.